GGUAGUGGCUCAAUGGUAGAGCACUUGACUUGCACGUGUGAGGCACUGGGUUCGGUUCUCAGCACCA
RNAcentral lists this transfer RNA (67 nucleotides) under Marmota monax (woodchuck). Its description in RNAcentral is "tRNA.Ala". The record is from RNAcentral. Lineage: Eukaryota; Metazoa; Chordata; Mammalia; Rodentia; Sciuridae.